AUCUCUCUCUCUCUCUCCCUCUCUGUCUCCCCCUCAAUCUCGCUUUCUCUCUUUCUCUCAAUCUCGUGCUCUCUCUCCUUUGAUCUUCUCAAAUUAGCACCUCUACUACACAUGUAUAUGUACCUCUAUAUAUUAUGUAUGUGUUGUGAAUAUCAAUGUUUGAAAUUGAAUUUAUUCUGUUGAGGUCCGAGCAAGAAUCGAAGUAGACGUCCUCAACUUCCUCAAGAUCUUGAACUCUUCGACUCCGACAAUCUCAUAUUUCUUUGGUUUGCAAUUUUGCUUCAAAUCUCUACUCUCGAAAUGUGUAUAUAUAUAUAUAUAUGUGCGUGUGUGUUUUUGUGUUAAGCAUUGAGUCACUGUUGAUUUUAAUUUGACAAAUUUGGGGAUUUUUGAGUGUGUUAUAGAUCAAUAGAAGAUGGAAUAAUAGCUGAGGGUUUGUUGACUGAUGUUUCGUGGAUUUUUCUUUCUCACUCGUUUUGCACGAGGUCUUUGAUGAGAGUUAACUAACACUGCUGAAUCUUUCAUUAGAGAUACGAUAAGAAAAAAAUGAGUACAUUGGACGUAGCUAGAGCAAAGCUUGGCCUUGCGGUUCUGUAUUUGAACAAAGCCGAAGCCAGGGACAAGCUAUGCAGGGCAAUACAAUAUGGUUCAAAAUACUUGAGUAACCGGGAGCCUGGCACAGCCCAAAAUGUUGACAAAUCAACUAGCUUGGCACGGAAAGUGUUCCGUCUUUUCAAGUUUGUUAAUGAUCUGCACGCGCUCAUUAGUCCAACUUCUCCUGUAGCACCCCUUCCCCUUGUU
Camellia sinensis is the source of this 801-nucleotide non-coding RNA. NCBI's taxonomy places the organism in Eukaryota, Viridiplantae, Streptophyta, Magnoliopsida, Ericales, Theaceae. The record is from RefSeq and is a predicted model, not a curated record.